AGCUUGCUGGGGUGGAUGAGUGGCGAACGGGUGAGUAACACGUGAGUAACCUUCCCUUGACUCUGGGAUAAGCCUGGGAAACCGGGUCUAAUACCGGAUGCGACCGUCCACCGCAUGGUGGUCGGUGGAAAGAUUUAUCGGUCUUGGAUGGACUCGCGGCCUAUCAGCUUGUUGGUGGGGUAAUGGCCCACCAAGGCGACGACGGGUAGCCGGCCUGAGAGGGUGACCGGCCACACUGGGACUGAGACACGGCCCAGACUCCUACGGGAGGCAGCAGUGGGGAAUAUUGCACAAUGGGCGCAAGCCUGAUGCAGCGACGCCGCGUGAGGGAUGACGGCCUUCGGGUUGUAAACCUCUUUCAGUAGGGAAGAAGCGAAAGUGACGGUACCUGCAGAAGAAGCGCCGGCUAACUACGUGCCAGCAGCCGCGGUAAUACGUAGGGCGCGAGCGUUAUCCGGAAUUAUUGGGCGUAAAGAGCUCGUAGGCGGUUUGUCGCGUCUGCCGUGAAAGUCCGGGGCUUAACCCCGGAUCUGCGGUGGGUACGGGCAGACUGGAGUGCAGUAGGGGAGACUGGAAUUCCUGGUGUAGCGGUGAAAUGCGCAGAUAUCAGGAGGAACACCGAUGGCGAAGGCAGGUCUCUGGGCUGUUACUGACGCUGAGGAGCGAAAGCAUGGGGAGCGAACAGGAUUAGAUACCCUGGUAGUCCAUGCCGUAAACGUUGGGCACUAGGUGUGGGGGCCAUUCCACGGUUUCCGCGCCGCAGCUAACGCAUUAAGUGCCCCGCCUGGGGAGUACGGCCGCAAGGCUAAAACUCAAAGGAAUUGACGGGGGCCCGCACAAGCGGCGGAGCAUGCGGAUUAAUUCGAUGCAACGCGAAGAACCUUACCAAGGCUUGACAUGUUCCCGACCGCCACAGAGAUGUGGUUUCCCCUUUGGGGCGGGUUCACAGGUGGUGCAUGGUUGUCGUCAGCUCGUGUCGUGAGAUGUUGGGUUAAGUCCCGCAACGAGCGCAACCCUCGUUCCAUGUUGCCAGCGGGUUAUGCCGGGGACUCAUGGGAGACUGCCGGGGUCAACUCGGAGGAAGGUGGGGACGACGUCAAAUCAUCAUGCCCCUUAUGUCUUGGGCUUCACGCAUGCUACAAUGGCCGGUACAAUGGGUUGCGAUACUGUGAGGUGGAGCUAAUCCCAAAAA
This 1192-nucleotide ribosomal RNA is filed under the name Citricoccus zhacaiensis. RNAcentral describes it as "bacterial SSU rRNA". It matches the Rfam family "Bacterial small subunit ribosomal RNA", at positions 77 to 1280 of the family's 1533-position model. Lineage: Bacteria; Bacillati; Actinomycetota; Actinomycetes; Micrococcales; Micrococcaceae. The record is from RNAcentral.